Molecule: long non-coding RNA, 261 nt
Organism: Ceratina calcarata
Lineage: Eukaryota; Metazoa; Arthropoda; Insecta; Hymenoptera; Apidae
Exons: 2
Source: RefSeq, a predicted model, not a curated record
CCUUUGGUUAGGCGUACAAGGAAGAGCCACUGUCUCGAUUUCUCCACGAUCCUUUAAGUGAGGUGAAACCCAUUCACCAAGAUGUUAAGGUCAGGUGAGGUGAACCCCGUUCACCCAGAUGUUAAGGUCAGGUGCACGCCUUUGGUUAGGCUUAAAAGGAAGGAGGAAGUCGCUGUCUCAAUUUCUCCACGAUCCUUUAGGUGAGGUGAACCCCAUUUACCCGGAUGUUAAGGUCAGGUGCACGCCUUUGGUUAGGCUUAA